Molecule: ribosomal RNA, 496 nt
Filed under: uncultured bacterium
Lineage: Bacteria
Description: partial 16S ribosomal RNA
Rfam family: Bacterial small subunit ribosomal RNA
Source: RNAcentral
AUGAACGCUGGCUGCGUGCCUCAUACAUGCAAUUCGAGCGAACAGACGAGGAGCUUGCUCCUAUGACGUUAGCGGCGGACGGGUGAGUAACACGUGGAUAACCUACCUAUAAGACUGGGAUAACUUCGGGAAACCGGAGCUAAUACCGGAGAAUAUAUUGAACCGCAUGGUUCAAUAGUGAAAGACGGUUUUGCUGUCACUUAUAGAUGGAUCCGCGCCGCAUUAGCUAGUUGGUAAGGUAACGGCUUACCAAGGCAACGAUGCGUAGCCGACCUGAGAGGGUGAUCGGCCACACUGGAACUGAGACACGGUCCAGACUCCGACGGGAGGCAGCAGUAGGGAAUCUUCCGCAAUGGGCGAAAGCUUGACGGAGCAACGCCGCGUGAGUGAUGAAGGUCUUCGGAUCUUAAAACUCUGUUAUUAGGGAUGAACAAAUGUGUAAGUAACUAUGCACGUCUUGACGGUACCUAAUCAGAAAGCCACGGCUAACUACGUG